GACAGAGGGUGCAAACGUUGUUCGGAAUUACUGGGCGUAAAGCGCGUGUAGGCGGCUAAGUAAGUCGGGCGUGAAAUCCCACGGCUCAACCGUGGAAGUGCACUCGAAACUGCAUAGCUAGAGUCCUGGAGAGGAAGGUGGAAUGCUUGGUGUAGAGGUGAAAUUCGUAGAUAUCAAGCGGAACACCGGUGGCGAAGGCGGCCUUCUGGACCAGUGACUGACGCUGAGACGCGAAAGCG
This 239-nucleotide ribosomal RNA is filed under the name uncultured bacterium. RNAcentral describes it as "partial 16S ribosomal RNA". It matches the Rfam family "Bacterial small subunit ribosomal RNA", at positions 524 to 761 of the family's 1533-position model. The record is from RNAcentral.